Molecule: ribosomal RNA, 253 nt
Filed under: uncultured bacterium
Lineage: Bacteria
Description: partial 16S ribosomal RNA
Rfam family: Bacterial small subunit ribosomal RNA
Source: RNAcentral
UACGGAGGGGGCUAGCGUUGUUCGGAAUUACUGGGCGUAAAGCGCGUGUAGGCGGCUAUGCAAGUCGGAUGUGAAAGCCCUCGGCUCAACCGGGGAAGUGCACCCGAAACUGCAAAGCUAGAGUCUCGGAGAGGAUCGUGGAAUUCUCGGUGUAGAGGUGAAAUUCGUAGAUAUCGAGAGGAACACCGGUGGCGAAGGCGGCUCUCUGGAACAAUCCUGACGCCUGAGGUGCGAAAGCUAGGGAGCAAACGGG